AUCGAACCUUGGCUUAAGAGUGUGUUUUCUUAGGAAUUUCUUGACCAUAACCCAAUCACCGGGUAGUAACUUGUGCGUGCCUGUGUUGGAUUCUGGAUCUGGAAUAGAAGAAAACACCUGUGCAUGGAUCUUGGUCAAGGCAUGAGAGAGUGCAGUUAUAUAAUCUACCAUUGCAUCUGACUGAAGUUGAAGUUGUGGAAAGUAACAACCUAACCUGGGUGCUGUCCCGAACAAAAUCUCGUAGGGGGAUAGGUUAAACUUCCCCCUUGGGAUAUACCUUACACUAAAGAGUGCUAUGGGAAGACUCUCUGGCCAGGGCAAAUUAGUUUCCUGUGACAUAUUUAGCAUUCUGGCCUUCAGAGUGCUAUUCAUGCAUUCUACCUUACCACUACUCUGUGGGUGAUAGGGUGUGUGGAAAGCAAGGGUCACCCCCAGUGCUGCCCAGAUUUCUCUGGUCAGUAAUGCGGUGAAAGAUGUACCUUGAUCACUUUCAAUUACUUCAGGGACUCCGUAUCUGCAGAUAAUUUCUGUGAGUAGGUGUUUAGCGGUAGUCUUUGCGGUAAGGUUGGCAACCGGGAAAGCUUCUGGCCACCCUGAAAACAUAUCCACUAUGACCAGUGCGUACUCGUAACGGCCGCUCUUCGGCAUUUGGAUAUGGUCAAUUUGGAUCCUUUGGAAGGGAUAUUGUGGUUUGGCCAAAUGAUUCGUUGCAGCUUUGAUUAUUUUCCCUGGGUUGCAUUUAGCACAGAUAGUACAUGACCGGCAGUAGUUUCGAGUUAGGGUAGUGAUCCCAGGUGCUUCGAAAUAUUUAUCAAUCAAGGAGUUCAUGAGUUGUUUUGACAAGUGUGCUGGUCCAUGAGCCCAUUGGACGUCAGCCGGGUACAUAUUCUUGGGUAGACAGAAUAUGAGGUUGAUUGUAUAUAUAUCAUUCUGGAUAAUUGCUCCUUUGUCCUUCCAGCUUUGUUUUUCCUGUGGGGUAGCAGCGGCCUGUUUCUCUCUCAGGAAUCUAGGUCAGUGGGUAGGGUUUGCAUAGUGUAAAUAGGGGUCUUCUCAUUGGACACUCUUCUGUCCACUUCCCAAUUCUGACGUGGUGCAUCUUUAGCUGCUUGGUCGGCCAGAUGGUUACCAUGG
Non-coding RNA from Pelobates cultripes (western spadefoot toad), 1131 nucleotides. Lineage: Eukaryota; Metazoa; Chordata; Amphibia; Anura; Pelobatidae. The record is from the annotation of a GenBank genome assembly.